UACGAAGGGGGCAAGCGUUGUUCGGAAUUACUGGGCGUAAAGGGCUCGUAGGCGGCCAACUAAGUCGGAUGUGAAAUCCCCAGGCUCAACCUGGGAACUGCAUCCGAUACUGGAUGGCUUGAAUUAGGGAGAGGGAUGCAGAAUUCCAGGUGUAGCGGUGAAAUGCGUAGAUAUCUGGAGGAAUACCGGUGGCGAAGGCGGCAUCCUGGACCGACAUUGACGCUGAGGAGCGAAAGCCAGGGGAGCAAACGGG
This 253-nucleotide ribosomal RNA is filed under the name uncultured bacterium. RNAcentral describes it as "partial 16S ribosomal RNA". It matches the Rfam family "Bacterial small subunit ribosomal RNA", at positions 524 to 776 of the family's 1533-position model. The record is from RNAcentral.